UUGUUUUUAAAAUUUGAGCUGACCUUGGU
This 29-nucleotide non-coding RNA is filed under the name Rattus norvegicus (Norway rat). The record is from RNAcentral. Lineage: Eukaryota; Metazoa; Chordata; Mammalia; Rodentia; Muridae.